GAUGAACGCUGGCGGCGUGCCUAAUACAUGCAAGUCGAGCGAACAGACGAGGAGCUUGCUCCUCUGACGUUAGCGGCGGACGGGUGAGUAACACGUGGAUAACCUACCUAUAAGACUGGGAUAACUUCGGGAAACCGGAGCUAAUACCGGAUAAUAUAUUUAACCGCAUGGUUCAAUAGUGAAAGACGGUUUUGCUGUCACUUAUAGAUGGAUCCGCGCCGCAUUAGCUAGUUGGUAAGGUAACGGCUUACCAAGGCAACGAUGCGUAGCCGACCUGAGAGGGUGAUCGGCCACACUGGAACUGAGACACGGUCCAGACUCCUACGGGAGGCAGCAGUAGGGAAUCUUCCGCAAUGGGCGAAAGCUUGACGGAGCAACGCCGCGUGAGUGAUGAAGGUCUUCGGAUCGUAAAACUCUGUUAUUAGGGAAGAACAAAUGUGUAAGUAACUAUCCACGUCUUGACGGUACCUAAUCAGAAAGCCACGGCUAACUACGUG
This 497-nucleotide ribosomal RNA is filed under the name uncultured bacterium. RNAcentral's name for it is "partial 16S ribosomal RNA". It matches the Rfam family "Bacterial small subunit ribosomal RNA", at positions 28 to 507 of the family's 1533-position model. The record is from RNAcentral.